AUGGCUCAGGAUGAACGCUAGCGGCAGGCUAACACAUGCAAGUCGAGGGGCAGCGCGAGUAGCAAUACUUGGCGGCGACCGGCGCAAGGGUGCGUAACGCGUGAGCAACAUGCCCGUAUCAGGGGGAUAAUCCAGGGAAACUUGGUCUAAUACCCCAUAGUAAUUUUGUAAGGCAUCUUAUAAGAUUUAAAGCUUUGGUGGAUACGGAUUGGCUCGCGUGACAUUAGCUGGAUGGUAAGGUAACGGCUUACCAUGGCUAUGAUGUCUAGGGGUUCUGAGAGGAAGGUCCCCCACACUGGAACUGAGACACGGUCCAGACUCCUACGGGAGGCAGCAGUGAGGAAUAUUGGACAAUGGAUGGAAAUCUGAUCCAGCCAUGCCGCGUGAAAAGGAAGAAGGUCCUAUGGAUUGUAAACUUCUUUUGUAUGGGAGCAAUAAGGCCUACGAGUAGGUUGAUGAGAGUACCAUACGAAUAAGCACCGGCUAACUCCGUGCCAGCCGCGGC
Molecule: ribosomal RNA, 505 nt
Filed under: uncultured bacterium
Lineage: Bacteria
Description: bacterial SSU rRNA
Rfam family: Bacterial small subunit ribosomal RNA
Source: RNAcentral